This 546-nucleotide ribosomal RNA is filed under the name uncultured bacterium. Its description in RNAcentral is "partial 16S ribosomal RNA". It matches the Rfam family "Bacterial small subunit ribosomal RNA", at positions 355 to 889 of the family's 1533-position model. The record is from RNAcentral.
UAGGGAAUCUUCCACAAUGGACGCAAGUCUGAUGGAGCAACGCCGCGUGAGUGAAGAAGGUCUUCGGAUCGUAAAGCUCUGUUGUUGGUGAAGAAGGAUAGAGGCAGUAACUGGUCUUUAUUUGACGGUAAUCAACCAGAAAGUCACGGCUAACUACGUGCCAGCAGCCGCGGUAAUACGUAGGUGGCAAGCGUUGUCCGGAUUUAUUGGGCGUAAAGCGAGCGCAGGCGGAAUGAUAAGUCUGAUGUGAAAGCCCACGGCUCAACCGUGGAACUGCAUCGGAAACUGUCAUUCUUGAGUGCAGAAGAGGAGAGUGGAACUCCAUGUGUAGCGGUGGAAUGCGUAGAUAUAUGGAAGAACACCAGUGGCGAAGGCGGCUCUCUGGUCUGCAAACUGACGCUGAGGCUCGAAAGCAUGGGUAGCGAACAGGAUUAGAUACCCUGGUAGUCCAUGCCGUAAAACGAUGAGCGCUAGGUGUUGGGGACUUUCCGGUUCUCAGUGCCGCAGCAAAACGCAUUAAGCGCUCCGCCUGGGGAGUACGACCGC